GAAAGCUGAAGGACUGGUGAUCAUUGUAGAACACUUUUGGACUUUUAAUUUUAAAUAUUAAAAAAACUGCACCAAAUUUUAAAAAGAGGGUACAUUUUGUCUGUUUGUCAGAUCUGAAGUACCUGUUUGGUACAUCCGAAGUUCCGGGAACCAGUUUGUUCUUAUAUGCCAUUAAAGGUAUGUUGAUUUUUUCAGUACAAGACACCAUAAAGUGUUGC
This 218-nucleotide long non-coding RNA is filed under the name Mytilus galloprovincialis (Mediterranean mussel). Lineage: Eukaryota; Metazoa; Mollusca; Bivalvia; Mytilida; Mytilidae. The record is from RNAcentral.